Coffea eugenioides is the source of this 483-nucleotide long non-coding RNA. RefSeq lists it as uncharacterized. NCBI's taxonomy places the organism in Eukaryota, Viridiplantae, Streptophyta, Magnoliopsida, Gentianales, Rubiaceae. The transcript is spliced from 2 exons. The record is from RefSeq and is a predicted model, not a curated record.
CCUCCCCACAACACAACAACGGUAGUCACUACUGCUACUGGCCCAUCAUCCAUAUCCAUCCACGCUUCUACGUCUUCACCGACAAAAAAGAGUGCAAGUUUUGAGAUGGAACCUCCCCAGGUCCAAGCAAUAGACGGCAACUACCCUCCACAGAAAGAUGCGCAGGACAAAGUUAUGAAUGAAUGUUGUUCUUGCUUCUAUGACUGCUCGGAUAGCCGUCUCGAGUACUUUUGCUGCUACGACCUCUGUUAGUUUCUAGGAUGCCACGGGAGUACGUUUACAGUUUAUCGACUUCUUUUGCUUUAGUUAUAAGAGCUGUCAUUUUUCUUGGUGUUCAACGGAAGGAACAAGUUUAUGGUCUUUGUUCUUCGUUCUUCAGAUCUGUUUAACUUUUUAUUUCUCUUUCGUUUUUUAUUUGUGGCUGAUAUGAUAUGAUCAUUUGCGUUGUGGAUAUUGAUUGCUCGAAUCAUGGGAUUUUUUAUU